Molecule: transfer RNA, 146 nt
Filed under: Candidatus Woesearchaeota archaeon
Lineage: Archaea; Nanobdellati; Candidatus Woesearchaeota
Description: tRNA-Arg
Source: RNAcentral
GAGCCUGUGGCGCAGCUGGAUCAGCGCGAGAGGUUCCUAACCUCUAGGUCCAGGGUUCGAAAAAGAAGGCGAACAAAUAACAGGUAUGUUGAUUAGCAACAAACUGCCAAAAAUCUCACCUUCCUUUGAAAGUCCCUGCAGGCUCG